This 76-nucleotide transfer RNA is filed under the name Bacillota bacterium. Its description in RNAcentral is "Firmicutes bacterium (anaerobic digester metagenome) tRNA-Glu". It matches the Rfam family "tRNA". From Rfam's summary of the family: Transfer RNA (tRNA) molecules are approximately 80 nucleotides in length. Their secondary structure includes four short double-helical elements and three loops (D, anti-codon, and T loops). Further hydrogen bonds mediate the characteristic L-shaped molecular structure. tRNAs have two regions of fundamental functional importance: the anti-codon, which is responsible for specific mRNA codon recognition, and the 3' end, to which the tRNAs corresponding amino acid is attached (by aminoacyl-tRNA synthetases). tRNAs cope with the degeneracy of the genetic code in two manners: having more than one tRNA (with a specific anti-codon) for a particular amino acid; and 'wobble' base-pairing, i.e. permitting non-standard base-pairing at the 3rd anti-codon position. The record is from RNAcentral. Lineage: Bacteria; Bacillati; Bacillota.
GCCCCCAUCGUCUAAUCGGUUAGGACACCGCCCUUUCACGGCGGCAACAGGGGUUCGAAUCCCCUUGGGGGUGCCA